RNAcentral lists this long non-coding RNA (1356 nucleotides) under Homo sapiens (human). RNAcentral describes it as "PREDICTED lncRNA (TCONS_00025430)". Lineage: Eukaryota; Metazoa; Chordata; Mammalia; Primates; Hominidae. The record is from RNAcentral.
GCUAUAAAAUUCUGAGACUAAAUAUCAAAUUAAAGAAAGUACUAAUUGUCAGCGAUGGGGGAUGUACUGCUAUUUGCUUCUAGUGGUACUCACUGCUCAUUUCCUAUAUUCACUGGUAUAAAAAAAUUUCAAACACCCUCAAAAAAGCCUAUACUGGUGGUACCAGGAAAACGCUGAAAAUCAUUACUUUCUGUGUGGUGUCCAGCUCUUUUGGUUACAUCAUCACUUCGACCAUUCACUUUUAAAGAAAAACUUUUGUGGAACAAAAAUAUAAAGAUUUAUUUUUUUUCUUGGUGGCUUAGCACAGUGGCCUAAUGUGGCUGACCAUGUGCACCUGUUGUGUGAGUCACUUAGACGUGCUUUGUUUCUUGGUCACAGUUGAUCCCUCAACUCAAGCAUCUCACCCUCAAAAUGUUUGUUUGGGACCCAAGAGGCAAACCUUGAGAUGGGUUAUUUCUUUCACCUUGGAUUGGCUCAUCUGCUGGGAGUGGAGCCAAGCUGACAUUUCCUUUCCUUUUUGUCUGCCUAUCACUACGUAGAGGCAGCACAUAAGAGAGGGAAAGCCAUGCGCGUGGAGUCCAGCACAUCACCCAGAAGGCAGAUGUUCUAUCUCCAUUUUACUCAUUAAAACAAACAAAACCACACCUGGAUUGCCUGCAACUUUUAAAAGCCUUUCCACUGCACAGUGAAAGAAAACCACAAACUCCUUGUUUAAUAAGUGGGAUCACGUGCUUUUAACACGAGGAAAAGGUCAAUCUGAAGCAACUGAUAUGGAACUGCCAGAGUAGGAGUUGAAAAUCUUCCUAAACUGCUGGAGGAUACACCUCUGAUAGCUUGAGACAAAUAUCCUCUUGAUCAUUGUUUCACCAUAUUUGUCUUUGCUCAUGGAGAACCAUUUUGAUCCGUGGUUUAGCCUCCCAGGUGAUUGAACAAUACCGGUGAUCUGAGGCAGACCCUCUGUGACGGAUAACAGAAAAGAAAAUUGAGGAUCAGAAAAUACGCACAAUUUGCAAAAACCAUGGGAAAGAAUAUUGAUUGAACAUCUACUCAAGAACUGCAAAACAGAGAUUACCUGACCUAAAGAUGAAUCCAGGAUUCGGUGGUGCCUGUUCCAGGAACCUUUAGUGUGAAGGAUCCUCCAGGUGAGAGAAGCCUUUAUGUCUUCUGAAAUGGUUCUGCUGUGUCCCCACCCAAAUCUUGUAUUGAAGCUCCCAUAAUUCCCGCGUGCUGUGGGAGGGACCCAGUGGGAGAUAAUUGAAUCAUGGAGGCAGUUUCCCCCAUACUGUUCUUGUGGUAGUGAAUAAAUCUCACCAGAUCUGAUGAUUUUAUAAGAGGUUUCCCCUUUCACUUGGCUCU